GCGAGCUUGACCGUCGGCAUCACCCAACGAGGGGCGCGGGCAGCAGCGCGCACAAUGUUCACUUCCAUCGGAGGGUUGAUGUGUUCAGCUCUCAUUUAACAAAAACUGAGUUGGACAAUGCCAGAGGCUAAAAUAACCUUAGUAAUACGACCGAAGGUAUCUGGUAUCCUGAAUCAA
RNAcentral lists this unclassified non-coding RNA (177 nucleotides) under uncultured Ascomycota. RNAcentral describes it as "sequence contains ITS1". Lineage: Eukaryota; Fungi; Ascomycota. The record is from RNAcentral.